UACAGAGGGGGCAAGCGUUAUUCGGAAUUACUGGGCGUAAAGCGCGUGUAGGCGGGUCUUUAAGUCAGGGGUGAAAUGCCAAGGCUCAACCUUGGAACUGCCUUUGAUACUGGAGACCUUGAGUCCGGGAGAGGUGAGUGGAAUUGCGAGUGUAGAGGUGAAAUUCGUAGAUAUUCGCAAGAACACCAGUGGCGAAGGCGGCUCACUGGCCCGGAACUGACGCUGAGAUGCGAAAGCGUGGGGAGCAAACAGG
Molecule: ribosomal RNA, 253 nt
Filed under: uncultured bacterium
Lineage: Bacteria
Description: partial 16S ribosomal RNA
Rfam family: Bacterial small subunit ribosomal RNA
Source: RNAcentral